GAGCGGACUCGUAGGAGCUUGCUCCUGCAAGUAAGCGGCGGACGGGUGAGUACACGUGGGCAACCUGCCUAUAAGAUGGGAUACUUCGGGAAACCGGAGCUAAUACCGGAUGACACUUUGGAACUCCUGUUCCUUAGUUAAAAGAUGGCUUCGGCUAUCACUUAUAGAUGGGCCCGCGGCGCAUUAGCUAGUUGGUGAGGUAACGGCUCACCAUUGCGACGAUGCGUAUCCGACCUGAGAGGGUGAUCGGCCAUUCUGGGACUGAGACACUGCCCAUACUCCUACGGGAGGCAGCAGUAUGGAAUCUUCCGCAAUGGACGAAAGUCUGACUGAGCAUCGCCGUGUGAACGAUGAAGGCCUUCGGGUCGUAAAGUUCUGUUGUUAGGGAAGAACAAGUGCUAGUUAAUAAGCUGGCACCUUGACGGUACCUAACCAGAAAGCCACGGCUAACUACGUGCCAUCAGCCGCGGUAAU
RNAcentral lists this ribosomal RNA (474 nucleotides) under uncultured bacterium. RNAcentral describes it as "bacterial SSU rRNA". It matches the Rfam family "Bacterial small subunit ribosomal RNA", at positions 64 to 524 of the family's 1533-position model. The record is from RNAcentral.